CCCUGACUCAGUCUCGGCCCUCUUAGACGUCUCAUCAUCUUUAUCACUUGUUUCACUAACAUCCAUUACAUUUUCCUAUCUUGUUCAACAUCCUCUUCUCCUAAUGUGCUCUUUCUUGACUCAAUCUCCACCUGCUCUGCCCUCUUAGGUGCCUCAUCUUCUUUAUCACUAGUUUCACUGCGACCUUUCUGAGCUUCAACAUCCAUAUCAUUUUCCUUAUCUUGUUCAACAUCCUCUUCUCCUAAUGUGCUCUUUCUUGACUCAAUCUCCACCUGCUCUGCCCUCUUAGGUGCCUCAUCUUCUUUAUCACUAGUUUCACUGCGACCUUUAUGAGCUUCAACAUCCUCAUCUCUAGCUUCCAUCUCUCCUACAACGCUCUUCUUCUCCACUUUCUUCUUGUUAGCACGGGCUUGGCUCAGAACCAUAUCCAAAUCCAGAAAAGAAUCAUCUCCACCAAUCUCUUUC
This 465-nucleotide long non-coding RNA is filed under the name Brassica napus (rape). RNAcentral describes it as "long non-coding RNA (BNAP_LNC027070)". The record is from RNAcentral. Lineage: Eukaryota; Viridiplantae; Streptophyta; Magnoliopsida; Brassicales; Brassicaceae.